GGGGUUGUGGCUCAGUGGUAGAGUGCAUGCCUAGCAUGUGUGAGGCAUUGGGUUCAAUUUUCAGUACCACA
This 71-nucleotide transfer RNA is filed under the name Marmota monax (woodchuck). RNAcentral describes it as "tRNA.Ala". Lineage: Eukaryota; Metazoa; Chordata; Mammalia; Rodentia; Sciuridae. The record is from RNAcentral.